AUUGAACGCUGGCGGCAUACCUUACACAUGCAAGUCGAACGGCAGCACGGGUGCUUGCACCUGGUGGCGAGUGGCGAACGGGUGAGUAAUACAUCGGAACAUGUCCUGUAGUGGGGGAUAGCCCGGCGAAAGCCGGAUUAAUACCGCAUACGAUCUACGGAUGAAAGCGGGGGACCUUCGGGCCUCGCGCUAUAGGGUUGGCCGAUGGCUGAUUAGCUAGUUGGUGGGGUAAAGGCCUACCAAGGCGACGAUCAGUAGCUGGUCUGAGAGGACGACCAGCCACACUGGGACUGAGACACGGCCCAGACUCCUACGGGAGGCAGCAGUGGGGAAUUUUGGACAAUGGGCGAAAGCCUGAUCCAGCAAUGCCGCGUGUGUGAAGAGGGCCUUCGGGUUGUAAAGCACUUUUGUCCGGAAAGAAAUCCUUGGCCCUAAUACGGUCGGGGGAUGACGGUACCGGAAGAAUAAGCACCGGCUAACUACGU
RNAcentral lists this ribosomal RNA (485 nucleotides) under uncultured bacterium. RNAcentral's name for it is "partial 16S ribosomal RNA". It matches the Rfam family "Bacterial small subunit ribosomal RNA", at positions 30 to 506 of the family's 1533-position model. The record is from RNAcentral.